Molecule: long non-coding RNA, 391 nt
Filed under: Ananas comosus (pineapple)
Lineage: Eukaryota; Viridiplantae; Streptophyta; Magnoliopsida; Poales; Bromeliaceae
Description: long non-coding RNA (ACOM_LNC003552)
Source: RNAcentral
GGAAAAGAGCAAACUUGUAAUAAUAUUGCGAUCAUUGAUUGUAUUUGGAAGAAAAUGUAAUGUAAUAAUGCAAAUGUGAUGUAAAAAUGAAUCUAAUGGGAAUGCUUGUAAUAACAUAGGAUGUGUUAUGUUGUUUGAUACCUUCCUUAUGCAAUCUUGCUUGAAUAUUGUUCCUGGUUGGAAUUUCUUGUAUUUGAAUUGAUUGCGACGCCUAGGACGUAUAGGGGAUACUCUGUCCGUUCGGCGGUCUGUCGGCGGCGCCGCGACCCGGCCAAAUAGGCGGGUGGUCGCGGGUCGUGACAGUAUCAGAGCCAAAGUGAAAGAAUAGGAAUAGACCUAGAGACCCUUAAGAUUGGAAGACCUUAAGGAUCUAGGAAACGUGAGUGAUGUG